AAACAAGCGUUGACCGGGAAAAGUACGCAGUCCCCUGCAUCCAAGGAAGUCCGCCCUCGACUGAAAGCGCGGAUAUGCAGGAACUCCGGAAGUUCACCCCGCGAGCUGCUAGACGGGGACCGGCCGAGUGCCGUAAAGUCUAGCCGGUGAUGAGCCGUUAUUCAAUGGAGUGAUCGCCUACGCGCGAUAACUAGGGUGGUACCGCGAAUCAAUGCCUCGUCCCUUUU
RNAcentral lists this non-coding RNA (227 nucleotides) under Planococcus rifietoensis. Its description in RNAcentral is "T-box sequence". It matches the Rfam family "T-box leader". Rfam says of the family: Uncharged tRNA acts as the effector for transcription antitermination of genes in the T-box leader family. T-boxes are found upstream of many aminoacyl-tRNA synthetase genes and some amino acid biosynthetic genes usually in Gram-positive bacteria. The anticodon of a specific tRNA base pairs to a specifier sequence within the T-box motif, and the NCCA acceptor tail of the tRNA base pairs to a conserved bulge in the T-box antiterminator hairpin. The record is from RNAcentral. Lineage: Bacteria; Bacillati; Bacillota; Bacilli; Caryophanales; Caryophanaceae.